GUGGGGAAUAUUGGACAAUGGGCGAAAGCCUGAUCCAGCCAUGCCGCGUGUGUGAAGAAGGUCUUCGGAUUGUAAAGCACUUUAAGUUGGGAGGAAGGGCAGUAAGUUAAUACCUUGCUGUUUUGACGUUACCGACAGAAUAAGCACCGGCUAACUUCGUGCCAGCAGCCGCGGUAAUACGAAGGGUGCAAGCGUUAAUCGGAAUUACUGGGCGUAAAGCGCGCGUAGGUGGUUUUGUAAGUUGGAGGUGAAAUCCCCGGGCUCAACCUGGGAACUGCCUCCAAAACUGCAUGACUAGAGUACGGUAGAGGGUAGGGGAAUUUCCUGUGUAGCGGUGAAAUGCGUAGAUAUAGGAAGGAACACCAGUGGCGAAGGCGACUACCUGGACUGAUACUGACACUGAGGUGCGAAAGCGUGGGGAGCAAACAGGAUUAGAAACCCUUGUAGUCC
This 450-nucleotide ribosomal RNA is filed under the name uncultured bacterium. Its description in RNAcentral is "partial 16S ribosomal RNA". It matches the Rfam family "Bacterial small subunit ribosomal RNA", at positions 354 to 796 of the family's 1533-position model. The record is from RNAcentral.